This 56-nucleotide transfer RNA is filed under the name Stegodyphus mimosarum. It matches the Rfam family "tRNA", at positions 8 to 63 of the family's 71-position model. From Rfam's summary of the family: Transfer RNA (tRNA) molecules are approximately 80 nucleotides in length. Their secondary structure includes four short double-helical elements and three loops (D, anti-codon, and T loops). Further hydrogen bonds mediate the characteristic L-shaped molecular structure. tRNAs have two regions of fundamental functional importance: the anti-codon, which is responsible for specific mRNA codon recognition, and the 3' end, to which the tRNAs corresponding amino acid is attached (by aminoacyl-tRNA synthetases). tRNAs cope with the degeneracy of the genetic code in two manners: having more than one tRNA (with a specific anti-codon) for a particular amino acid; and 'wobble' base-pairing, i.e. permitting non-standard base-pairing at the 3rd anti-codon position. Lineage: Eukaryota; Metazoa; Arthropoda; Arachnida; Araneae; Eresidae. The record is from Rfam by way of RNAcentral.
UGGUGCAACGGUAGCACACUCGGCCUGUAUUCGAGAUGUCCAGGUUCAAGUCCCGG